This 110-nucleotide small RNA is filed under the name Marmota monax (woodchuck). Lineage: Eukaryota; Metazoa; Chordata; Mammalia; Rodentia; Sciuridae. The record is from RNAcentral.
GCCAGGCACAGUGGUGCAUGCCUGUAAUCCCAGUGGCUUGGGAGGCUGAGGCAGGAGGAUUGUGAGCACUUUAGCAAGGCCUGAAGCAACUCAGCGAUUCCCUGUCUCUA